ACUCCACAUACGCAUCCUUUGCUGAGGAUACGGUUAACGGAGCGAAAGCGACGUUCAACCUCAAAAGAAGCAGAGGGGGCUUAGUGGUGGGGUGACUGCGUACCUUUUGUAUAAUGGGUCAGCGACUUAUAUUCUGUAGCAAGGUUAACCGAAUAGGGGAGCCGGAGGGAAACCGAGUCUUAACCGGGCGUUAAGUUGCAGGGUAUAGACCCGAAACCCGGUGAUCUAGCCAUGGGCAGGUUGAAGGUUGGGUAACACUAACUGGAGGACCGAACCGACUAAUGUUGAAAAAUUAGCGGAUGACCUGUGGCUGGGGGUGAAAGGCCAAUCAAACCGGGAGAUAGCUGGUUCUCCCCGAAAGCUAUUUAGGUAGCGCCUCGUGAAUUCAUCUCCGGGGGUAGAGCACUGUUUCGGCUAGGGGGUCAUCCCGACUUACCAACCCGAUGCAAACUGCGAAUACCGGAGAAUGUUAUCACGGGAGACACACGGCGGGUGCUAACGUCCGUCGUGAAGAGGGAAACAACCCAGACCGCCAGCUAAGGUCCCAAAGUCAUGGUUAAGUGGGAAACGAUGUGGGAAGGCCCAGACAGCCAGGAUGUUGGCUUAGAAGCAGCCAUCAUUUAAAGAAAGCGUAAUAGCUCACUGGUCGAGUCGGCCUGCGCGGAAGAUGUAACGGGGCUAAACCAUGCACCGAAGCUGCGGCAGCGACACUAUGUGUUGUUGGGUAGGGGAGCGUUCUGUAAGCCUGCGAAGGUGUCUCGUGAGGGAUGCUGGAGGUAUCAGAAGUGCGAAUGCUGACAUAAGUAACGAUAAUGCGGGUGAAAAACCCGCACGCCGGAAGACCAAGGGUUCCUGUCCAACGUUAAUCGGGGCAGGGUGAGUCGACCCCUAAGGCGAGGCCGAAAGGCGUAGUCGAUGGGAAACAGGUUAAUAUUCCUGUACUUGGUGUUACUGCGAAGGGGGGACGGAGAAGGCUAUGUUGGCCGGGCGACGGUUGUCCCGGUUUAAGCGUGUAGGUGUGUGUUCCAGGUAAAUCCGGUUCACUUUAACACUGAGGCGUGAUGACGAGGCACUACGGUGCUGAAGCAACAAAUGCCCUGCUUCCAGGAAAAGCCUCUAAGCAUCAGGUAACAUCAAAUCGUACCCCAAACCGACACAGGUGGUCAGGUAGAGAAUACCAAGGCGCUUGAGAGAACUCGGGUGAAGGAACUAGGCAAAAUGGUGCCGUAACUUCGGGAGAAGGCACGCUGAUAUGUAGGUGAAGUGGUUUACCCAUGGAGCUGAAAUCAGUCGAAGAUACCAGCUGGCUGCAACUGUUUAUUAAAAACACAGCACUGUGCAAACACGAAAGUGGACGUAUACGGUGUGACGCCUGCCCGGUGCCGGAAGGUUAAUUGAUGGGGUUAUCCGUAAGGAGAAGCUCUUGAUCGAAGCCCCGGUAAACGGCGGCCGUAACUAUAACGGUCCUAAGGUAGCGAAAUUCCUUGUCGGGUAAGUUCCGACCUGCACGAAUGGCGUAAUGAUGGCCAGGCUGUCUCCACCCGAGACUCAGUGAAAUUGAACUCGCUGUGAAGAUGCAGUGUACCCGCGGCAAGACGGAAAGACCCCGUGAACCUUUACUAUAGCUUGACACUGAACACUGGUCCUUGAUGUGCAGGAUAGGUGGGAGGCUUUGAAGCGCGGACGCCAGUUCGUGUGGAGCCAUCCUUGAAAUACCACCCUUUAAUGGCUGGUGUUCUAACGUAGACCCGUGAUCCGGGUUGCGGACAGUGUCUGGUGGGUAGUUUGACUGGGGCGGUCUCCUCCUAAAGAGUAACGGAGGAGCACGAAGGUUAGCUAAUCCUGGUCGGACAUCAGGAGGUUAGUGCAAAGGCAUAAGCUAGCUUGACUGCGAGCGUGACGGCGCGAGCAGGUGCGAAAGCAGGUC
This 1927-nucleotide ribosomal RNA is filed under the name Salmonella enterica. RNAcentral describes it as "partial 23S ribosomal RNA". It matches the Rfam family "Bacterial large subunit ribosomal RNA", at positions 1 to 2411 of the family's 2925-position model. The record is from RNAcentral. RNAcentral also lists the same sequence under 1 other name. Lineage: Bacteria; Pseudomonadati; Pseudomonadota; Gammaproteobacteria; Enterobacterales; Enterobacteriaceae.